UUUUUUUUUUUUUUUACUUGAUAAAGAUUCUGGGGGCUUCCGCCUCUCUCCCCUUUGCCAAUGUUUUGCCCUAGCAAAACUUGAAAUAGAUGUAAUCUGUUUAUGUAGAGGCUGAAAAGAGAGCAGUCUAGAUGAUCUUAUUGGCUUGAAUCCAAGCUAGAGUUAGAGGGAUUACUUUUUCUCACUUUAGAUCACCUUAGCUGAUCCUGUCAAGCAAUAAGCCUGGCCCUGUUUUGACUGCCUAAUGUGAUGCAAAGUGCUUUGAUCCUUUUUGUCUGUUUUCUGUCAAUGUGGCUAAACUAGCUUAAAUACAAGUUAGUAUGGAUUCUUACAAAGGAAAAAGAACAAUUUAUUUGAAUUGUAUUAAAAAUGAGUAUGAGUAUCUCACUUCUGCAUUUAAGAAAGCAGGUGAAAAUGGGCUUGCAUUUCCUAUUUCCCAUUGUUAUCUAAGAUGCUCAAGUGUUUCUUUUAAACUUGACCAAGACUCCAUAACCUAUUAAAAUAGAUUAUAAUUCAGAGUAGGUUUUAAUGCAAGCAUGUUAUCUGAAAGUGUGUGUGUGUGUUUGUGAAGGUGCCCUCUUGUUUUUCAUAGUAAGAUAAAUUUUACUUUCAAAAUAAGGUUAUGUGAAAUGAGACUUUCUGUUGCUUGUUGAUAGUUCUGCUGUAUAAUAAAAUAGCUGUUAGCACUGAAAAUAAAGGUUGGUAAAAUGAAAUUAGGAAGUUGAUUUUU
Molecule: long non-coding RNA, 730 nt
Organism: Strigops habroptila (Kakapo)
Lineage: Eukaryota; Metazoa; Chordata; Aves; Psittaciformes; Psittacidae
Exons: 3
Source: RefSeq, a predicted model, not a curated record